AUCGAUAUUGCAUUGCUCCAGUGACCUUUGCCUCACUUGCAAGAUGAAUAGGUAAAUGCACCAUAACAUCAAAGAAUGAUGGAAAAAAUAUUAUUUCUAAUUUGCAAAGUGUGACUAUUAUGUCAUUCUCAAGGUGUUCUAAUUGAUUAGUCUUUAACACUUGAGAACACAACUGUUUGAAAAAACUGCAUAGUUCAACUAUAACAACACAAACAUUCUUAUGUAGAACUCCUCGAAUUGCAAGUGGAAGGAGUUGUUGCAUGAGACUAUGACAAUCAUGAGACUUCAAUCCAAAUAUCUUUCUUUCAUUCACUUGUACAC
RNAcentral lists this long non-coding RNA (321 nucleotides) under Vitis vinifera (wine grape). RNAcentral's name for it is "long non-coding RNA (VVIN_LNC007031)". Lineage: Eukaryota; Viridiplantae; Streptophyta; Magnoliopsida; Vitales; Vitaceae. The record is from RNAcentral.